Periophthalmus magnuspinnatus is the source of this 3425-nucleotide RNA transcript. It is a transcript of the gene named epithelial splicing regulatory protein 2, with no coding region annotated. The transcript has 17 exons. Lineage: Eukaryota; Metazoa; Chordata; Actinopteri; Gobiiformes; Gobiidae. The record is from RefSeq and is a predicted model, not a curated record.
CCAACCACAGGUAAUUCAGAAAAAAUAGAAGAGGAAAAAACGCAAGGGCUUGUUAUGGAGUUCGUGUGAAAGAAACACGGAUUUCCACCCUUCUUUUCCAGUUAAACCAGUAUCUCUGGAUAAAACACGCUCAAGUAGGGACACAGUUUUCCCCUUGUGGUCCCUGAUGGCUUCGCACAGUGAUACUCUGGUGGUGUUCUUUGGGGCAACAGCUGGUGCAAAUGGGGGUAAACUGGGUUCGGAUGAGAGGGAAAUAAUUCUCUUGGUGUGGCAAAUUUUGGACCUUCAUGAGAAAAAGGUGGGGAAGCUUCACAGGUGUCUUGUCAAACCAGACACUUUUGAGCUGACAGAGCAGUGUAAAGAAGAAACAGGACUGACUCUGGAAGAAUUAUCCAAAGCUGAGCCUCUAGACAAAGUUUUGCAACAGUUUCAACAGUCUGUCUCAUCAGAACUAAAAUGCCUUGGCAGAAGCUCUUAUACAUUGUGCGUCAACAGUUCACUGGUUAUUCGUCAGGCACUCCACCCAGAAGCUUCCAAAAAGAAUCUCGUACUUCCUGAAUGUUUCUUUUCAUUUGUCGAUGUGAGGAAGGAGUUCCAUAAAUGUUGCCCUAAUUCAGGACCAGUCCAAAAGCUCACACUGCCCUCCAUGUUGGAAUAUGUAGGCCUUGCUGCGGAGUCAGAGCAGUCGAUCGGGGUGAGAGAGGUUAGAAGUAUUGUGCAGGUGCUUCUUCACAUCCUGGAUGAGCCCUACAAUCACAAAAUCUCUUGUGUUGAAAUUGUGAACUACAAGUUUGAUUCUGGCACAUGCAGUAAGACAGAACCAGUGGAUAGUGAGACAGUCAUCAGAGCCAGGGGACUUCCCUGGCAAUCAUCAGAUCAAGAUAUUGCCCGAUUCUUUAAAGGGCUCAACAUUGCAAAGGGUGGUGUGGCUCUGUGUCUCAAUAAUCAGGGCCGGAGAAAUGGAGAGGCUUUGGUUCGUUUCAUCAAUUCUGAACACAGGGACCUGGCCCUUGAACGGCACAAGCACCACAUGGGCAGCCGCUACAUUGAGGUUUACAAAGCUACAGGAGAGGAAUUUCUAAAGAUCGCUGGAGGUACGUCCAAUGAGGUGUCCCAGUUUUUGUCAAAGGAGAACCAGGUGAUAAUUCGAAUGCGAGGGCUUCCGUUUACCGCUACACCACAAGAGGUGCUGUCCUUCCUGGGUCCCGAGAGCCCUGUUACAGACGGAGCCGAGGGUCUGCUCUUCGUGAAGUAUCCUGAUGGGCGACCCACGGGUGAUGCUUUUGUGUUGUUCUCAUGUGAAGAGUAUGCACAAAAUGCUCUGAAGAAGCACAAGCAGAUUCUGGGAAAGCGAUAUAUUGAGUUGUUCAGGAGUACUGCAGCUGAGGUUCAGCAGGUGCUGAAUCGUUACUUGUCCACUCCUCUGAUCUCCACACUGCCUCCUUCACCUGUCAUGCCUCUUCCAAUGCUGGCCACACAACCCUUCCUCCCAGCCUCUAGUAGUGUCCGUGACUGUGUGCGUCUGCGGGGGCUGCCCUACACUGCCGGCAUCGAGGAUAUCCUGGAGUUUAUGGGAGAGCACACUGUCGACAUCAAACCUCAUGGAGUCCACAUGGUUCUCAACCAACAGGGCCGGCCCUCUGGUGAUGCCUUUAUCCAAAUGAAGUCUGCAGACAAGGCAUUUAUGGUCUCCCAAAAGUGCCAUAAAAAAACUAUGAAGGACAGAUAUGUUGAGGUGUUCCAGUGCUCCACAGAGGAGAUGAGCAUCGUCCUGAUGGGAGGAACACUAAACCGCAGUGGGCUGUCUCCUCCACCAUGCAAACUGCCUUGUCUGUCCCCACCAACAGCUUAUGCAGCCUUCCCCACUCCCCCAGCCCUUAUGCCUGAAGCCCUGUACCAGCCCUCCCUGCUGGCAGCUCCUCGCACUCCCCACGCUGCUGCUCACACAGCUGCACACACACUGUACUACCCUCCUCAUCCUCACCUUUACAUGAACAUGAAUAUGAACUACACGGCUUACUACCCCAGUCCCCCUGUCUCUCCCUCGACUGUGGGCUACUUUGCGGCUCCUCCGGGGGCAAUGGCAGCAGCAGUGGCGGCUCAGUCCCACCCUGCAGCUGCUGCCUCCUCCGUGCUGCCCCAGCCUGGUGCUCUAGUCCGGAUGCAGGGUCUUCCCUACAACACAGGGGUCAAGGACAUUCUCAGCUUUUUUCAAGGAUACCAGGCCCAUCCUGACUGCGUUAAUAUGAUGCUAUGUGUAGUACGGCCCUGAAGACUACAACGGUGUGGUUCAGAUGAGUGAACAGGCCAGGAGUCUGAUUCAGCCCAAAGAAUGGCUCUGUCUGUAGGCACCUGCCAAAGCUGCAACCAGAUGGCAUUCUCAUCUUGUACAACUUCAGUGGGCAGUGCAAUGGCGAAGCCUUGGUCACAUUUCCAAGUGAAGAGGCAGCUAGACAAGCUGUAGCGGAGCGCUCCAACCACCUCUUCUAUGGCCAACAGGUCCACCUUGCCUUGUGUAACUGACCCUCUCGGACCCCCUCUGGCCUGCACUGUACCUGCCUCAUGUUUCUGUGACACUCCAGAGGCUUCCUGGAGCUAUUGCCAUAUCAGCUUUAUGUGUCACCUCAUGGACUCAUCCCACCUGGACCAGUGAUCUUGUUGAGUGGACCUACUGUAAAGACGGCCUGUGGAGAAGAGACAGUCAUCCAGAGCCACUGCUAAUCACAUUAUUCUAGCCUUUGUAUUCUUAUUCUUAACACUAGUGUAUGGAUGUUGUCUCUGAAAGGCUCAAGGACACCUACACCAUGAGCCAUCAUAAACUGAGUUUAGUGCCUAUGUUCUUCUGUCUGUACUGAGCUUCUUUUGGAUUUGAAUGUACACAAUGUUUGCCUUUUUGGACUUUUAUGUGGAUGCCAAGCUAUUAUUAGACCUCUAAUGGAAAAGAGUAAGCUGUGUGCUAAGUGUAAUGCAGAGCUGCAGGGACCAAACCACAGGCAUCACACUGCCAACUAAUGUGCAUGUCUUUUCGGUUAAAAGGCUUGUGUCUUGUUUUUUUCAGUAGCGCUUAAGUAUUUUUUUUUUUUUUGUACUCAAAUUUAAGAGCAUGAUGAACUUAUAUUUUUAUUCUAUUUCUACAAAGGAAAUGUCAUUAAAUCGGCCAACAAAAGCUGCUUUACAUUAGCUUCUGUGUAAAUGAUUGUAUUUAUAAGACUGUGUGGCUCUGCUCUGGACCAGAAUGCUGUAGAAACUUCCUUUGUUGACACACACCUGUUUCUUUACCCACAUUACCCAGAGUGCAAUACUGGGCCAAUGAGGCCAACCUCUGGUGGAUAUUAUUCCUUUGCUGCAAGUUUGAGACUUGCAUGGAUUUUGAACAAUUUAAAGUAUGAAGAUGGAAAAAAAAUAAUAAAGUUGUGUAUAAAAUG